RNAcentral lists this long non-coding RNA (680 nucleotides) under Nicotiana benthamiana. RNAcentral's name for it is "long non-coding RNA (NBEN_LNC002543)". Lineage: Eukaryota; Viridiplantae; Streptophyta; Magnoliopsida; Solanales; Solanaceae. The record is from RNAcentral.
CGCACUAUCUCUAAGUAUAAAAUGAAUGUUGGUUUGCUCUUAUGGUAAGCCAAACGUACUGAGUGACGUUCACGUUCCUCCAGACUUUGGGGGGUGACAGCUGCAUAUCUUCAGAGCCACUUACCCUUUAAUGCUCCUUGUUUCUCUUAUUUAAUGUGGAAGGCAGUAAAUUGCAAAUGGAGACUAAGGUGCAAAGCCUUGGCGGCAGACAAAAACAAGGGAACUUCAACUUUGUCCUGGACAACAUUUUCAACUUUCGUCUUAGUAGUACAAAUCAAACAAGGACAUUCAGCUAGUAGUGGAAUAUAAGGCUCUUCAGAACAUCAAACAUCAUGCCAACACAGCAAAAGCAAAUGUAUAAUCGGUAUUUGUGACAGCAAAUUUAAAUAUUCAUAUAGGGUUUCAUUAUAAGUAUUAUUCAUACAGAUUAACUUGAGCACUAGCAACUUCUCUUGUUAAGACAACAAGAUUGCUGAUAGCUUUCCAAAAUGCAAGACAGUAUUAAUGUUUAACCAUAUCAACUUUUUAGUCAAUUAGCAUUAUAGGUUGCCUAGAUCUAACCAUUUGGGAAGCACAUCUAACAGCUAAACAACUGGAAAGACUCAUUCAAUCCUCUAGAUGGACUAAAAAAAAAGUGCAACUUCUAGACAGAAACAACACACCUGUACAAAUAAUGGAGA